This 492-nucleotide ribosomal RNA is filed under the name uncultured bacterium. Its description in RNAcentral is "partial 16S ribosomal RNA". It matches the Rfam family "Bacterial small subunit ribosomal RNA", at positions 29 to 507 of the family's 1533-position model. The record is from RNAcentral.
AGUGAACGCUGGCGGUAGGCCUAACACAUGCAAGUCGAACGGAAGCACAGUAAGAGCUUGCUCUUACGGGAGGCGCGUGGCGGACGGGUGCGGAAUACUCCGGAAUAUACUUUUUAGUGGGGGAUAACGUAGGGAAACUUACGCUAAUACAGCAUACGACCUACGGGUGAAAGCCGGGGAUCUUCGGACCUUGUGCGAUAGAAUGAGCCGAUGUCGGAUUAGCUAGAUGGGGGGGUAAAGGCCGACCAAGGCGAAGAUCCGUAGCUCGUCUGAGAGGAUGAUCAGCUACACUGGAUGAGAGACACAGUCCAGACUCCUGCGGGGGGCAGCGGUCGGAACUCUUAGGCGAUGGACGAAUGCCUAAUCCUGCCAUACCGCGUAAAUGCAGAAGGACUUCUGCUUCUAGAAUCCUUAUGUUCUGAAAAUAGAACAGCUCUUUAACACCCGACUGUUCUGACGGUACCCAAAGAAUAAGCCCCGGCUAACUUCGUG